UUCCUCCAACAUGGGUGGGAGCGCUGAUGCAGGUGUACAAGCAGGCAUCCAGCCACAGUAAGAUGCUCCACACUCCAGUGAGAUGGGUCCUUCCCUUUCCUCUGCUGGUUUUAGAUAAUGCCAAAAAGAUACAGCUCUAUUAUCUUCAGCUGGCAGGUGCAAGAGGCCCAGGAGUGCUCCAUGUUCCUGAGCCUGCUGUGGGUCUCACUGGCAUCCUGCACAGUGCCUCGUAGAGAUUCUCAUCAGCGAGCCUUGGAGAUCCUGUCUGAGUCUGCUGCCAGCUGCCCAGCCACCUCCUCACCAUAUGAAUGAUGGACUAAUGGUGCCAUUGGGUCAGCAGACAGCAACAUUUCUCACCCCUUACUCAGAACAACCCACUUUGCAAGUAGAAAGAUCACUCAUCCUACAGACAGAUUAAAUACUCUGUGUUGAGAGCAGCACUCUGCAGCUGCUGGCACUGCCAGAGUCAAACUCACAGCCAGCAUCAGCUGCCUCCAAAAACAAAGCAUCAUCGUCAUCUCUGCUCUCAGAGAAGGUCUUCUGGAAAAGGUCAUAGAUCGUCUUCUGCUUUGGAUCCGGCUGAGGAAACAGAACAGAACAGGAUCUGCAUCCACACUGUCAUGUAAAACAUAGUGAGCAAAAUCAGGACACUCCCCUUACACAGUGCACAUGUCAGCUCCCUUGCAGCACUAAAGAUUCCUCAGAUCCUGCCCAUCCCCAGAUGUCAGAUUCCCCAGCCCUAAGCUAACUCUCACUGAAGCCAAAAAGCCUCCUACCACAACUACCCAGAGGUGGGUCAAUAGCACCUUUUUAAUCUAUUUGAAGGGCUCACUGAAGAGCAAGAGAAAGGCAACAGUAGAGUUCUCCUCCACAGCUCCCUGUCCAAGCACACAGCAGCCAGAUUGCUCCUCAGAACUGAUCUACCAUACACUGAACCACCUUCAGUGUCUGCUGACUUUGUUUAAGUCUCAGCACUUUACAGUACCCUAGCACGGAAAUGUUCUGGGCUUGUAUCUAAGACAAUUCCUCCUCCUUACACAGAGACUGUGAAGGCUUCAGAUGCAUCAGUUCUCCCAGAAUUUCUCUUGAGAGCUCUUUCUUUAUCAGGUAACUACUUUUAUUCCUCCUGCUUGUCAGCCGCUCAGUCAUGUCCACUGCAGCCAGGCCAUGCCAUCAUCUUGCAGCAGCCCUGGCACUUACUGAUCCUCCCCUCACAGGCUGUGGAACUCAGCACUAGCAUUAGCCCCUCACACCACAUAUGUUACAAACUUUGGAAACACAUGUCAGGAGAACCAAAGUGUCUUUCUC
Molecule: long non-coding RNA, 1308 nt
Organism: Motacilla alba alba
Lineage: Eukaryota; Metazoa; Chordata; Aves; Passeriformes; Motacillidae
Exons: 4
Source: RefSeq, a predicted model, not a curated record